CGCAGGCUUGCUUCUAUGUGAAACUCCUUCGAAGAGUCGAGUUGUUUGGGAAUGCAGCUCAAAAUGGGUGGUAAAUUUCAUCUAAAGCUAAAUAUUGGCGGGAGACCGAUAGCGCACAAGUAGAGUGAUCGAAAGAUGAAAAGCACUUUGAAAAGAGAGUUAAACAGUACGUGAAAUUGUUGAAAGGGAAGCGCUUGCAAUCAGACUUGCCUUCAGUUGAUCAGCCAUCCUUCUGGUUGGUGCACUCUGCUGUUGGCGGGCCAGCAUCAGUUGGGGCGGUGGGACAAAGGUGGCAGGAAUGUGGCUCGUUCGCGAGUGUUAUAGCCUGCUGCGCCAUGCCACCAGCCCCGACUGAGGUCCGCGGUUCGCCUAGGAUGCUGGCUUAAUGGUUGU
This 393-nucleotide ribosomal RNA is filed under the name uncultured Orbiliaceae. Its description in RNAcentral is "LSU rRNA". It matches the Rfam family "Eukaryotic large subunit ribosomal RNA", at positions 229 to 641 of the family's 3401-position model. Lineage: Eukaryota; Fungi; Ascomycota; Orbiliomycetes; Orbiliales. The record is from RNAcentral.